GAGCUCAAAGUUGGAAUCCGGCUGCCCUAGGUAGUUGGAGUUGUAAACUGGAGAAGUGUUUUCCAGGCGAGCCAAGCGAAUAAGUCCUUUGGAACGGGGCAUCAUAGAGGGUGAGAAUCCCGUCUUUGGCUUGAGCUAUUCGUCUAUUGCGAUACACUUUCAAAGAGUCAGGUUGUUUGGGAAUGCAGCCUAAAUUGGGUGGUAAAUCUCACCUAAAGCUAAAUAUUGGCGAGAGACCGAUAGCGAACAAGUACCGUGAGGGAAAGAUGAAAAGAACUUUGAAAAGAGAGUUAAACAGUAUGUGAAAUUGUUGAAAGGGAACCGUUUGGAGCCAGACCGGCCGUUCUAUAAUCAAUCUCUGCCUCGGUGGGGAUGCACUUGUAGGGCGUUGGCCUGCCAACAGCAAUUUUGCCUGAUGGAAAAAACUAAAAGGAAUGUGGCCCCUCGGGGUGUUAUAGCCUUUUGGAAAAUACAUCGGGCGGGAUUGAGGACUGCAGUAAAUGC
RNAcentral lists this ribosomal RNA (504 nucleotides) under Backusella sp. ASU-2019c. Its description in RNAcentral is "partial large subunit ribosomal RNA". It matches the Rfam family "Eukaryotic large subunit ribosomal RNA", at positions 104 to 603 of the family's 3401-position model. The record is from RNAcentral. Lineage: Eukaryota; Fungi; Mucoromycota; Mucoromycetes; Mucorales; Backusellaceae.